GACGAACGCUGGCGGCGUGCUUAACACAUGCAAGUCGAACGGAGCGAAUGAAAGCUUGCUUUUAUGAGCUUAGUGGCAAACGGGUGAGUAACACGUAGACAACCUGCCGACAGGAUGGGGACAACAUUCCGAAAGGAAUGCUAAUACCGAAUGAAGCGGAGGAGAGGCAUCUCUCUUCCGUGAAAGAUGGCCUCUGAAUAUGCUAUCACCUGUCGAUGGGUCUGCGUCUGAUUAGCUGGUUGGUGAGGUAACGGCUCACCAAGGCGACGAUCAGUAGCCGGUCUGAGAGGAUGAACGGCCACAUUGGGACUGAGACACGGCCCAGACUCCUACGGGAGGCAGCAGUGGGGAAUCUUCCGCAAUGGGCGCAAGCCUGACGGAGCAACGCCGCGUGAGUGAAGAAGGUCUUCGGAUCGUAAAGCUCUGUUGAUGGGGACGAACGUGCGAAG
RNAcentral lists this ribosomal RNA (449 nucleotides) under Centipeda dianae. Its description in RNAcentral is "bacterial SSU rRNA". It matches the Rfam family "Bacterial small subunit ribosomal RNA", at positions 28 to 458 of the family's 1533-position model. The record is from RNAcentral. Lineage: Bacteria; Bacillati; Bacillota; Negativicutes; Selenomonadales; Selenomonadaceae.